This 586-nucleotide ribosomal RNA is filed under the name Stereocaulon botryosum. RNAcentral's name for it is "mitochondrial SSU rRNA". It matches the Rfam family "Bacterial small subunit ribosomal RNA", at positions 368 to 986 of the family's 1533-position model. The record is from RNAcentral. Lineage: Eukaryota; Fungi; Ascomycota; Lecanoromycetes; Lecanorales; Stereocaulaceae.
AUGUAAAGCAACAGCUGAUUGCACCAACUAAUAGUUGAUGCAAGAUUGACUAUGUCAAAUAAAAUUCUGGGUAGAACUAUGAUAAUGACAUAAUCUACCCAAGUCUUGACCAAUUUGCGUGCCAGCAGUCGCGGUAAUACGUAUAAGGCUAGUGUUAUUCAUAUUUAUUGGGUUUAAAGGGUACUUAGACGGUAGAUAAAGCCUUGCCAGGUACUAAUUUACUAGAGUUACUUACGAGGGGGUAUUAAAGUACUGCAGGUUUAGAGAUGAAAUUCUAUCAUACCUCUUUUCAAUAGAAAAAUUAUGGCACAGGUAUAGGUGAAAACAUCCCCUUAUGUGAUAACUGACGUUGAAGAACGAAGGCUUUGUGUCGCGAACAGGAUUAGAUACCCUAGUAGUCAAAGCAGAAAAUGAUGAAUGCCAUAGAUUAGAUAAAUAGUUUAUUCUAUAAAUGAAAGUGUAAGCAUUCCACCUCAAGAGUAAUUUGGCAACAUUGGAACUGAAAUCAUUAGACCGUUUCUGAAACCAGUAGUGAAGUAUGUCGUUUAAUUUGAUAAUCCGCAAAAAACCUUACCAUACGAAUAUG